Molecule: long non-coding RNA, 1337 nt
Filed under: Citrus sinensis (sweet orange)
Lineage: Eukaryota; Viridiplantae; Streptophyta; Magnoliopsida; Sapindales; Rutaceae
Description: long non-coding RNA (CSIN_LNC002364)
Source: RNAcentral
AUAAUCAAAGGGUACAACGUGACUGUUUAUUAAACUAAGGAGUUUAUGUGAUCACUUAAACAAACUUUAGGAGGUGUGAGUGUCUUUUUCCUAUUGUCUAAACUUUUUUUCUUAGAUUUAAGUAUUUUUAAAAAUGAAUUGAAUCUUAUUAAAAUUAUUUUUCGAGAGUGGGGUGAAUUUAAAGAAAUAAUGCGAGGUGAUAUCCCAUCCCAAAUCAAAUUGAAAGCACCUUUAAUUCCUGUAAGUCUUUAUCUAAUUUAAAACUUAAUAGAAAUUGAUUUUAAAAUUUAGAAGCAUUAUUUCAUUUUUGAAAGAAUAAAGAAAUAGAAACGAAAGACAAUCGUAUCCUAGUACUACUACAACUCCAGGAAAGUAGAUUAUAUAUAAUAUUUCUAGCCUGUUUCCUCUCCAUGAUUCGGUCAGGCAUUAAAGAUUAAAGAAUGGAAGGAAAAGAACACGCUCAGACUCCAAGAUUGCCAUCAAAUAGUUCUGAUCUGAUAGAUGAUCUCCUAAUUUCAAUCUUAGCCCGAUUGUCACCCCUCGAAAUUAUCUGUACAAGCAUGGUUUGUUCUUCCUGGAAUAGGAUUGUCAGAUCUUCAUCCCAUUCCCGCCGGGCUGAGGCUCCUUGGCUCGUAUUGCCUUCUGAAACUGAAGAAGGUGAAGAUGUCGAUGGUUGCCACUUUUUCAAUGUCGAAGAGCCCAGAGAGAAAACCAAAAUCUAUAAACUGAAGAAACAGAGUAUACAAGAAUUUCGGAAAGUGGCGGUGCAUCGGAUCAUCCCAUGGAUGGCUCAUUCUCUUAGAUCAUGAAAGAUCCUGUCCUCCUCUUUUGAAUCCCUCUCAAGUACCCGGAUUCUCCUUCCUCCUCCGGAAACGAUUCUGGAUAUUGUGCGUUAUUUGGAUGGAGAAGGUUAUACGUCUUGGAUCGUUCCAAUUCUUAGCGUUUUAUCUCAAUCAAGGAAUUAAGAGAUGGUUUCUUCCAUAAGGCUAUCCUGUCGCCAAAUCCGUAUUUGCAGAAGAAAUAUAGUGCGAUUGUAAUUUACAACAAUAAAUCCAAAACUUUCUUUCUGGAAGCAUGGAGAAGUUGCGUGGCACAGCUUCAAUGGAGCUAGCCAAAGCGGUUACAGUGAUGUUGUAUGCACUGCUGAUAAUCGCGUUUAUGCACUAUCAACAUUCGCCAACAAUUAUACUGAAUGUACAGUUGAAGCAUGGGAUUUUAAGCAACAUGUUCCUGUAAUGCUUAUGCAAGUCACAGCUCCCUUACCGGGGCAACUGGAGGAUAUUUCUACUCCUGUGGUCGUAAACUCGUACGUGGUGGAAUCUUUGGCCAGUAUCUUG